AACGAACGCUGGCGGCGCGCCUAAUACAUGCAAGUCGAGCGAGAAGACGUAGCAAUACGUUUGUAAAGCGGCGAACGGGUGAGGAAUACAUGGGUAACCUACCCUCGAGUGGGGAAUAACUAGCCGAAAGGUUAGCUAAUACCGCGUACGCUCCUUGGACUUCGGUUCAGGGAGGAAAGCGAUGCCGAGGGUAUCGCGCUCUUGGAUGGGCUCAUGUCCUAUCAGCUUGCNGGUGAGGUAACGGCUCACCAAGGCUUCGACGGGUAGCUGGUCUGAGAGGACGAUCAGCCACACUGGCACUGCGACACGGGCCAGACUCCUACGGGAGGCAGCAGUAAGGAAUAUUGCGCAAUGGGCGAAAAGCCUGACGCAGCGACGCCGCGUGGGGGAU
RNAcentral lists this ribosomal RNA (391 nucleotides) under uncultured bacterium. Its description in RNAcentral is "bacterial SSU rRNA". It matches the Rfam family "Bacterial small subunit ribosomal RNA", at positions 29 to 409 of the family's 1533-position model. The record is from RNAcentral.